Molecule: long non-coding RNA, 206 nt
Filed under: Prunus persica (peach)
Lineage: Eukaryota; Viridiplantae; Streptophyta; Magnoliopsida; Rosales; Rosaceae
Description: long non-coding RNA (PPER_LNC008248)
Source: RNAcentral
AGUUUCAUAAGCCAAGGAAAAAGGGCUUGCACCGGUUGGUUUUCGUUUGGUAGUACGGUAUGCCCAUAACACGUUUGGCAGUUCUUCUGACCAUUUGCCCUUGCGUUGUUCUAGCUUUCUCUUCAAGCAAUCAAAGAUUGUACGAUUAGUUUUCUCGGCUUGCUUGUUUCUGUUUGGGCCUAAAUUUGGCACGCCAAAGUUCAAAA